GAUGAACGCUGGCGGCGUGCCUAAUACAUGCAAGUAGAACGCUGAAGGAGGAGCUUGCUCUUCUGGAUGAGUUGCGAACGGGUGAGUAACGCGUAGGUAACCUGCCUGGUAGCGGGGGAUAACUAUUGGAAACGAUAGCUAAUACCGCAUGACAACAGUUAUUGCAUGAUAACUGUUUAAAAGGGGCAACUGCUCCACUACCAGAUGGACCUGCGUUGUAUUAGCUAGUUGGUGAGGUAACGGCUCACCAAGGCGACGAUACAUAGCCGACCUGAGAGGGUGAUCGGCCACACUGGGACUGAGACACGGCCCAGACUCCUACGGGAGGCAGCAGUAGGGAAUCUUCGGCAAUGGACGGAAGGCUGACCGAGCAACGCCGCGUGAGUGAAGAAGGUUGUCGGAUCGUAAAGCUCGGUUGUAAGAGAAGAACGAGUGUGAGAGUGGAAAGUUCACACUGUGACGGUAUCUUACCAGAAAGGGACGGCUAACUACGUG
RNAcentral lists this ribosomal RNA (495 nucleotides) under uncultured bacterium. RNAcentral describes it as "partial 16S ribosomal RNA". It matches the Rfam family "Bacterial small subunit ribosomal RNA", at positions 28 to 507 of the family's 1533-position model. The record is from RNAcentral.